Long non-coding RNA from Loxodonta africana (African savanna elephant), 29535 nucleotides. RefSeq lists it as uncharacterized. NCBI's taxonomy places the organism in Eukaryota, Metazoa, Chordata, Mammalia, Proboscidea, Elephantidae. The record is from RefSeq and is a predicted model, not a curated record. The transcript is spliced from 9 exons.
GUUUCCCAGUCGAGCACGGCUUCACAGCCUUUCGAUAAGAAGCAAAGGUGGCACAUGGAGCCAGGUGUUCUAGAGAAAGGAGGGGAAGGUGGUGGGAGGCACGAAGAAACCAAAAGAAACAGAAAGAAGCAACAACAACUCAGGGACCCGGUCAGCGUGGGCAGGGCGAAUCCAAGUGGCCUGGACCAGAGGCAGUUGCCCCCCAACCAAGAGACUGUGGCUGUCCGGAAACAGAGGAGGCUGAAGGGGUGGGGAAAAAGGGUGGGGGUUAGGAAAGUGUAUAUUUUUUGUUAUCAGGUGCUCUGUCUCCUGCUGGGGAACUUCGUGAAGCUGCUUUUCAGUACUCCCUGUCCACUGAUCUGUGAUGUGGGUGGGGCAAAUCAAGCAGCACGGAUGCUGCACUUCCCAGCCUGCCAAUCCACCACAGCCAGACAGGAAGCUCGGAGGUAGAGCAGGGGGGAGAGGAUGGAGGGGGUGGGAAAGUUUGUGUCCCUGGUUACCGGGUGCUCUGUCUCCUUCUGGGAGCUCUGUGAAGCUGCUUUCCCUUGCUCCCUGUCUGCCAGUCCCCAAAAGGAGUCCAAGAUGGUGAACCCGUGCUGCGUUAGCUGAUAGGGCACUUCCGCAUGUAUCUCUCCUCACUCCCUGUCCUCUGUCAGUUUCUUAUUCCUUUUGGUGUUUGGCUGAGUUCUUUAUCUUUUCAUUUGACACUUCGGGUUCUAGGAAUGAUGUUUAUCUCUGUUUUGCUUAGUUUUUUGGGUGUUUGGUAUGGAGGGACAAUGUGGUGCUUCUGUCUCUGGCGCUGUGUUUGCAGGAAGUUCACUCAAAGAUUCUUGAAACUUCUUUUGAUCAGAAAAUUGGUCACAUUCUUCAAAUUUGCUUCAGAGCCUUUGACUUUCGCAAAGCAAAUUAAUACAAAAGAGAUAAAAUUUGCCCCCAUUUUGUCCAACACCCAAGGAUAAUAUCACACAACUUGGGUUUCAAACUUGGUUGGAGUAUAAAUGUGACAAACUCUUUGGCUGCACACAACUUGUGUUUCUAUGAUUCAUUCACCUUCUGUAAACAUUUAGUACAUCUCUCUCUAUUCCACUAAAACAUCCCUUUAAAAAGCACUUUAAGAAAGAAUCAAUGCUUUGUUAAUGUGAAGGAUUAUCUUUUCUGAGGUUGAGUUGUAAUAAACAUUGUGUUUUUGACAUCCAUAACUUUUCAAUUUGGGGCUUAGUUUUCAAAUAUUUUAAAACUAAAAUAUUCUUUCCCUGACCUUCCUUCCAAUAUAAACCCAAGUUUAUACUAAAAGAUAAAAUUCCAACAUUUCAGAGAAAGUGAAAGUCUGCAAGUUACCUUGCUCCCUGGAGAUAUCACUGUCGAUAGGUUUUUCCCCCAUUGAAAAUAUAUUUUUAGUAAGUGGUAUCAUAAUUCAGUAUGUUCUUAGCCUUUUAGAAACCUGGAAAGUCUGUAAAGCACAUAUAUAUUUUUUAAAGCAAUCUAUUUAACCAUUCUUUCAUUUUCUUCUCAAACUUUUUAUUGUCUACUUUUGUUUUAAGGUAUAAUUUUUAAAUAGUUAUGAAUUUGUAAGGGAUGAAGCAGAGGAAGAUUUACUGUGAAGCUAAUGAAGCUUAAACUUUAGGGCUCCUCACCUACAUGGGCACCUUCCAAGGCCUGUCCAGGGCCCCAGAAAUAGUGUGGUGAUGGUGGACUUCAGUCCUCCCAGUGACUUCCAUCCCAGCAAAGGAGAAAAAGAGCAGUCUGGGAGACUGACACAGCUGUGUCCUGGGUUAUACAAGCCCUGGUGAUGAAUGGUUUGUUUUCUUUCUGGACCCAAUGGUGGAUGAUCAUUAAGAGUAUACAGAUGUCUGACGAUGGGUCUCAAGACAGAAGUGAGGGCAUUCCAUGGCAGGAGACUACUUGAGCAGUGGCAUCCUGGUGGGACAAGGGGCUGAAGAGGCAGGCCACCCUGGGUGAGCGCAGACAUUUACAGGAUGUGACCCGAAGCAAGAAAACUGGCUGGAUCUGAGAAUCACUGGAAGGAGAAGGAGGGGAUUAUAGUGGCUGACAUAUCUAAGGGAGUUUGGAGUAUGACUUACUCAACUGUGGAAGGUGCUUCUGAAAGGCAGGGGUGGCUGAAAUCUGCAAAUUGGUGGUUGGUGGUGACGUCGUCAGUCAGGCUAUGCCUGGUUGAGGGUGGGUGUGUUGGGAGAAUGUCAAUGCAGUUGCCUCUCUCCAAGUUAGUCCUGGAUGAUAAAGCAAGAGUGAGGCUUGUGGGGUGGAGUUUGGGGAGACCAGCGCUACUCUGCAGGUGGGGAGUCACCUUUUCUGGGAAGGUGGCGGUGACCUGGAGGCACUUCUGGGAUUGGGACAGAACCCUAAACUGCUCAGUGCUGUCCUUGCACCAUUUAGCUUCUAAAACUCUGGUGGUAUAGUGGUUAAGAGCUACAGCUGCUAACCAAGAGGUCGGCAGUUCGAAUUCACCAGGCGUUCCUUGGAAACUCUAUGGGGCAGUUUUACUCUGUCCUAUAGGGUCGUUAUGAGUCGGAAUCGACUCUAUGGUGGUGGGUUUGGUUUUUGGUUUUGAGUCCCCACAGAUCUAACCUACCUGGAGAGUCUGAAACUGCAGGGUCUUCUCGCCUCUGGUUCUUUUCUUUUUUGUUGUUGUUCUUUCUUUCUAAAUUUAAGAGAGUCCCUGGGUAAGUUCCUAGGGCUGCUGUACUAAAGUACCUUAAGUUGGGUGGCUUAUAAGAACAGACAUUUAUUGUCUCAUAGUUCUACUGUUGUUGCUGUUGUUGGGUGCCAUCAAGUCGACUUCAACUCACAGCGAGUCCGUAGGACAGACUACAACUCCCACACAGGGUCUUCUUGGCUGUAAUCUUUACCGAAGCAGAACGCCCGUCCUCCUCCUGCGGAGCCACUGGGUGGGUUCAAACCAGCGACCUUUUUGUUAGCAGCCGAGGGCUUAACAUUGCGCCACAAGGGUCCCACCGCCUCCGGUACCUUACUGCAUCUGACUUUGUUCUGCACCCUGCUGCACGUUUCCGAGUUCUUGGCCCCUCCCCUUGAUUAGGCUUACUUGGUAGAACUUUCAAUUCUGAAUCCACAAGUGUAGUCCCACCCCCUCCUGGGCGUGGGGGGAAGCUCACCCACUGCUUUUAACCGCCGUUCCAGCUCGCGGAAGUGGGCCUCUGCUGGGGCCUGCGGCUGACUUGGCUGUGAUGCAGGGCCCUCCGCAGUGAAAGUGACACGCACGAGGUCAUGGAGGGCAUCAAGGAUCCUAGAGGUGUCCUAUCUGAUGGAAAUGGGACCUAUGAGACACAGUUGUCCACAAGACUUCCUCAGUGAGAGGAGCAGAGGUACAACUGCCAUGUGGAACACAGCGGGAAGAACAGUACACACUCUGUGACCUGUGGAAGAAGUUUCAUCUAUGGUUUCCUCCUUCCCAGAACUCCACACUCUUCGCGAUGACAUCAUGGUGGUCUCCAAGGAUGGAUCUGUGCAACCGUGAAUCCUAGCUGUGGGGCAUUUGGAUGAAAAGUCUUUCCUGCACUAUGACAGUGAGACAGUGCCCCCAGCAGUGAAUGUGACUCACCGCAAGGCCAUGGAGGACAACGAGGAGCCUGGGGAUGUCCUAUCUGGUGUGAAUGGGGCCUACAUGACCAGGGUGUCCACAAGACUCCCUCGAGAAGAGGAGCAGAGGUACAGCUGCUAUGUGGUACACAGCAGGAAGAAGAGUACACACCCUGUGACCUGUGGUGAACAUGGGUGAUCCCAGAAGAGGCUGCAACUUGGAUGGACCUUGGUACAAGACAGUUUAUGGCCGAUCAUUCCUGGUAUUGUUGCUGCUGUCAUUAUUAGUGUUAUUAAUGUUGUCCUUUGAUGCUGCAAGAGGAGGAGGCGAGCCAGAAGCAGAAGACCCAGGCUCCCAGGCAUAGCCCAGACAGGAUGUAUGGUGAAGCCUGAGCUGAUCGACAAGACCUUGGAUGAUUAUGGAAUCAGAGGGAAAAAAUAGUGCAAGAGUUUAUGAUCUGGUGAGGUGGGAGUCGUUAUUUCUUACAGGAAUAUGGAUGAAAUGUGAUGACUCUAGUCCAUGUCUGCCUCUCCCUCCAAGUGUCUCCAGUGCUCAUGAGGAAACAAGAAAAAGACCCCUGAACCUCCUGCCUGAAGCUCCCUGGGGAGCCCCCACUUAGAGCAGACAUUUGAGCCUUGAGCACAGGUGGGCGUCUUCUGUGCAUUUGGUAGCUCCUCAGAUCCCUCCUGCAGACCUGAGUCCUGUGUUUGGUUUUCUCUGUCCAACUCCUGUCCUGUGCUCUUUUCAAGUCCCCAUCACACUUCUUCAUGUUCUUGCUGCUUUCUCGUGGAUGAUGUGGAGAGGACAUGAGUGAUGAACCCUACUGUUUGGGAAGAGGAACCAGCCCAUCCUCAGGGGAGCUAUGGUGUUUGGUGUUGUCCUGUCUCUGAGGGUUUCCUGUCCAUCCGUCUGGGUGACAGUCCGCAGUGUCUCUUUACUAGGUCAUUUGGCCUGAGCUCUCUCCUCCUUGAGCCAGUUCUGCUUUCUUGUGAUGGUCACUGUCCUGUAAAUGUGGAAUAAGGGAUGGCCAAAAUGCUUUCCCUAAUAAUCAGAUUGCUUGAGGAGAAAGAAAGAGAGAAAACAGAAAGUUUAUCUUACUGCAAAAAAGCAAAUGUGAUUCAUGAAGCCAUGAGAGGGUGGGGUGUCUUUCUGCUGCUUCUACCGCUUCUGUGUGACCAGUGGGAGGGAGACAGCAGCACUGACUUCUCCUUGAACGUAAUUUCAUCACAGUUUGUUCCUUGUUCCUGGGCAAUCUUGGACAGUGAGUCUCCUCCCUCACUGCAAAGGGAUCCAUCCAUGUUGUACCAGGUGGUGGCAGUGCAGGCCCGUUGUUGCCCCUGCUCUCAACUGCAGUGUGGGUUCCUUGUGGGGCAGAAAGUAUUGCCUCCAUGUAAGUGGGGGCAUUUGUCAGGAAAAAAGUGUGACAAGCAUGUGCUAGUUUCUCAAAAGUCCUGCAUUAAAUUUUGAUAUCCAAUAAUGGUUUUAUGAAUAUAGCAUUUCCUCUAGUACUGAUCUUCCAACAUUUUAAAGGAAGCAGGAAUUUACAUGUGGAGAGCCCUUGCAGCGAGACCCCAGGCUUAGAGGGUGGGGAGACACAGCCUCAGGCUGAGGGGUCUCAAGAAUUCCCCUCUUCUGCAUUGAGAAGGUCCCCUGUGGGCAGUGGCCUGGUCAGAUCCCUGUGAGGAACAGGGACAGGGAGGCCUGGCCAUUUCAGCCAAGCAGCUGGACUUGGGGUGUGGCUGUGUUUCCUAUGGCCGUGUGAAAUGGUCAAUAGCAAGAAGACCUCAGUGCAGCUUGAGAGCCUGGCAGGUGCAGGGGAAGGUGGGGUCUCUGCAAGCAAGGGGUGCCCCUGGGUCAGGGCAGUUACAGACCCUGUGUUGGCCACAUUUUUCUUGAUGAAUCUUCUGGUCACCUGAGCCUCCUGAUGGGCCCUCCUGCUAGGAGCUGCUGGCUCAGAGAGUGGCAGGGGUAGGAGGUAGAGAGGUGCUGAGCUGCAGGUGGUGGUCGGUGCCUGUACUUGAGCAGGGUCAGUGAAGCAGGGAUGGGCACUUGUGUGUAUGAGCUUCUGCAGGUGAAGAGAGUGGAGAAUUAAAGGAGAGAAUGAAUUGCGUUUGUAACCCGUGCCAAGGCCUCAAAGAACAAGGAGUUGGGGCCUUGUUCACUCUGUCAGGGGGUGAGUGGGGCUUGAGAGGAGGGAGGGCACUGGGUUUCCAUGUCUUGAUCUUGUCUUUUUGUCUUGCCACCUUUUCACUUCUAGGUGACAAGCAGGGACAAGUGACAGUGUUGCUGUCAUGAUGGGAGGAAACUAGUAAAGGCUGGAAAAGUGGGGUGAGAGGCAUAAGAAAGUGGAGCGUCUCUUUCCUGAGGACAAGGCAGAAUCCAUUUUUGGAGAGAGCAAGAAGAAGUUCUGAGCGAUUAGAAACUGUUCUGUAACAGUUGAACACUCACUGAUUUCUCUUGAUGGUUUUCCAUUUGCCCUUUGUCUCCAGAGCAAGUGGAGUUACAACACAUGGAUGGAUACCAGAAGGUGCCAGUAGACCAAAUGGUGUUGGGCAGCUGGGCUCUCAGUCUCUGCUGUCAGCUCCUGAGUGUGCUGAUUCACCUGUGGAUGCAUAGGCUUUUUUUUUUUUUUUUUAAUUUUUAUUGUGAUUUAAGUGAAAGUUUACAAAUCAAGUCAGAGUCUCAUACAGAAAUUUAUAAACACCUUGCUAUAUACUCCUAAUUGCUCUCCCCUUAUUUUUUAUUGAGACAGCACACUCCUUCCCUCCACUCUCACUUUUCAUGUUCAUUCAGCCAGCUUCUGACGCCCUCUACCCUCUCAUCUUCCCUUCAGACAGAAGGUGCCAACAUAGUCUCAUGUGUCUACUUGAUCCAAGAAGCUCAUUCCUCACCAGUAUCACUUUCUAUCCCAUAGUCCAGUCCAAUCCCUGUCUGAAGAGUUGGCUUCAGGAAUGGUUCCUGUCUUAGGCUAACAGAAGGUCUGUAGACCAUGACCUCUGGGGUCAUUCCAGCCUCAGUCAGACCAUUAAGUCUGGUCUUUUGAUGAGAAUUUGGGGUCUGCAUCCCACUGCUCUCCCACUUCCUCAGGGGCUCUCUGUUGUGUUCCCUGUCAGGGCAGUCAUCAAUUGUAGCUGGGCACCAUCUAGUUCUUCUGGUCUCAGGCUGAUGUAGUCUCUGGUUUAUGUGGCCCUUUCUGUCUCUUGGUCUCAUAAUUACCUUGAGUCUUUGGUGUUUUCCGUUCUCCUUUUGGAUGCAUAGACUUUUGUAAUUAUUAUCAUAAAUUGUUGUUGUUAGUUGCUAUCAAGUCAGUACUGACUCAUGAUGACCCCAUGUGUGGAAAGUAGAACUGCUGCAUAGGUUUUUUUGUUUUUUUUUUUAUGUAUAAUUUAAAAAUUCAACAAUUUUGGGCCCUUGGGGCACAGUGGCUAAAGCGCUCAGCUAUUAACUGGAAGGUCGGAGGUUUGAACCCACCAACUGCUCUGCAGGAGAAAGAUAUGGCAGUCUGUUUCUUUAACAAUUUACAGCCUCAGAAACUCUAUGGAGCAGUUGUACUCUAUCUUAUAGUGUCGCUGUGAAUCAGAAUCAACUCAGUGCCAGUGGCUUGGGCUUGGGCUCUUACCCUCCUUUUCUGAGUUUUUCUUCCUUCCUUAACAUGAACUCAUUGCCCUCUGAGUUUCCUGUUUAAUCUUUCAAAUUGCUGUUGUCAAUUUGAUCCCAUAUAGAUAGUUCUUAAAAGAGAUCAGUGCUCAAGGUAGACACUCUUUACUAGUUAAGUCAAGCUAUUGUUUGUUUUUUAGAAGACUGGAGGAGAUAUUUUUUUGUUUAAGGUUUAAAGAUUAUCUCAGGGCAAUAGUUUCAGGGAUCAUCCAGCCUCUAUGGCUCCAGAAAUCUGGAUUCCAUGAGAUUUUAAAUCCUGUUCUGCAUUUUCUCCCUUUUGAUCCGGAUUCUGUUAGAGAAUCUUUGUUCAAAAUAUUCAGUAAUGGUAGCUGGGCACCAUCCAGUCCUCUGGUCUCAUAGCAGAGGAGGCAGUUGUUCAUGGAGGCAAGUAGCCACACAUUCCAGUUUUCCUCCUAUUCUUAAUUCUCGUUCUUCCUCUGGUGCUGCAAACAAUGGAGACCAAUUGUUUUACUUUGGGUGGCCGUUUGCAACCUUUUAAGACCCUAGGCGCAAUACCCGAACUAGGAGAUUGAACAGAAGCACAAACACAAUAUUAGGCCAGUUAACUGAGAUGUCCAAUGAAACCAUGACUCUAAACCUCCGGAACAAGACACCAAAUCCCAUGAUAUGUAUUAUGGAUUGAAUGGUGUCCCCCCAAAAUAUGUGUCUACUUGGCUAGGCCAUGAUUCCCAGUAUUGUGUGGUUGUUCUCCAUUUUGUGAUCUGAUGUAAUUACCUAUGUGUUGUAAAUACUAACCUCUAUGAUAUUAAUGGCGCCCUGCUGGUGUAGUGUUUAAGAGCUUGUCUGUUAACCAAAAGGUUGGCAGUUUGAAUCCACCAGCUGCUCCUUGGAAACUCUAGGGGGCAGUUCUACUCUGUCUUAUAGGGGCUCUAUGAGCUGGAAUCAACUUGAUUGGCAAUGGGUUUGGCUUUUUUUUUUUGGCUUAUGAUGUUAGUGAGGGAGGAUUAGAGGCAGUUAUGUUAAUGAAGCUGGACACAAUUUACAGGAUUAGGUUGUAUUUUGAGUCAAUCACUUUUGAGAUGUAAAAUAGAGAAGUGAGCUGAGAGGAGAGGCACCUCAUUACUACCAAGCAAGAAGAGCCAUGAGCAGAGCGUGUCCUUCCACCUUCCUGGGAUGUCCUUCCCCCACCCCCUGGGAGAGUGCUUUUAUGUUAUGGAGUCACCUGGGAUCCUACUAAAUUGUAGACUGAAAAUGUCGGGAGUGGGGCCUGUGAGCCUACUUUUCCAACCAGUUUCAGGCAAUGCUGAAGCUUGCUGGUCUGAGGAUCACACUUGGAGUAGCAAGCAUCUCUCCUUGUCUCUCUCCUGUGUUGUGUCUAGUUGUCUGUGUCCUAUGUCUUUCUCUUCUUUUACACCCUUUCAGAUUUUUGGCAGAAUUAAUAUUUUGGUAGCUUACUUAUAUUGUAUUUAUUUUUGGUGGCAAUAUAUAUAAUGAAACAUGUGUCCAUUCAGAAUUCAUACGUGACCAGCUCAAUGACAUUGGUUACAUACUUCACAUUGUGUCACCAUUCUUAAAUCUCUACCCACAUUUUUUCUUCACCAUUACUUUAGGCUGUCUGCCCCUUAAAGCUUUCAUCUGUGCUUUAGAUUGACUGUUGUCAGGUUACACUCAUCUAGAUAAUUCUUUAUAAGAGCGCUAGCUAGAAGCAAACAUUCUUUAUUAAUAGGUCUAAAUAAAAUGUUGUUUAGUAUAAUGAUGGCUUCAUGGGAUAGUUUCAGUUCAAGGUUUAAAGGUUAUUUUUAGGCAUUAGUGUCAUGGAUUGAAAUGUGUCCUCGAAAAAUAUGUGGCAGCUUGGUUAGGCCAUGAUUCCCAGUAUUGUGUGGUCGUCCUCCAUUUUGUGAUUGUAAUUUUAUGUUAAAAAGAUUAGGGUGGGAUUGUAACACCCUUACUAAGGUCACAUUCCUGAUCUAAUGUAAAGGGAGUUUCUCUGGGGCGUGGCCUACACCACCUUUUAUCUUACAAGAGAUAAAAGGAAAGGGAAGCUAGCAGAGAGUUGGGGACCUCAUACCACCAAGAAAGAAGCACCGGGAGCAGAGCACAUCCUUUGCACCCAGGGUCCCUGUGUAGAGAAGCUCCUAGUCCGGGGGAAGAUUGAUGAGAAGGCCAACAAAGAGAGAAACCCUUCCCCUGGAGCUGAUUCCCUGAAUUUGGACUUUUAGCCUACUUUACUGUGAGGAAAUAAACUUUUCUUUGUUAAAGCCAUCCACGAGUGUGAUUUGGGGAUUUGCCCAGUCUCAAUGAAUCCACUGAGUCAGGUUUCCAUAUGAGUCUGAAGUUCUGUUCCAUGCUUUCCCUCCUUUUGAUUAGGAUCAAUCUAUUGGGUCCUUGAUCAAUAUGUUCAGUAAAGGUAACUGGGCACCAUCCAUUUCUUCUGGUCUCAUGGUAAUGAAGGUAGCAGUUUAUGGAGGCAAUUAACCCUGCAGCCUAUUUCCUUCUCCAAAUUCUGGGUCUCCUUGCUCUGCUGUUCCAGAUGAAUAGAGACCAAAUUGUUGUAUCUUGUGUGGCCCCUCUCAAGCUUUUAAGACUUCUUGUGGUAGUAUAUAUAUACAAGGUAUGUUUGCAUGCUUCAAAAAUGUCUAUAAUAAUUGUUCUGCUUGAUUAAUAGCUUGGCUGAGUACAGAAUUCUAUGCCUGAAAUUAUUUUCCCUCAGAAUUUUGCUUCAUAUGUUUAUUUCUUCCCUUGAGAAAACACAGGGCUCAGGCAUUUACAAUGUAAAAGUUUCAUUUCAGGGCUGCCCACAGUUUUGGGAAAUAGUACAGAUUUAUACUACUGUUACUGUACUUGUUGCUGUGACAAUUGGCAUUUGGAGGAAGACAACAACUUCACAUUCAGAGAGUAUAGGUGAGGAGCAACCUGGACACCUGGAAACGAGAAGAUAGGACUCUGAGAUAUUCCAAGGUAAGGGACUGUAUUUUUUUUUUUUUUAUGUAUCCUUCCCUUCUUCCUUCCACCAGCCCAGUUACAAGUGUGGUUAGGGCAUUGGGCUCUUGGUUCAUUGAUUUUGUGAAAUUUUUUUUCCCCCAUGGAGAAGGAUAGAACAGCAGCUGGGUGUCAGGUGUGACUCCAAUUCUUGUCAGCCUAGAAAACUGAACUGACAAGAUUUAGGGGUCCCUGACCUUGGUCUCCUCCUCCUUUAACUUAGUUUGUGAUUCAGAGCCUUACUCCAUUCACUUGGGCCUCAAUUUUAAUCAGCCUUACAUCAGGCUCAAUGUUUCCUGCCUGACCUGUAUCACAGGAAUUGAGACCAGAAGGAAUGGAGGAAAGGUUAAGGUUGUGAUAUUCACCCUAAGCCCACUUUUGCAGAUGAUUGCCUUGCCUACCCUCCCCACAAGCCUAGCUAAGCCCCUGUGUCCCUGCCUUAAGUUCUCAGUGGGGAACCCUUGCAGUUAGCUUCUGCUAGGAUGUGUGGUGAAGGAGGAGAGAGCAAGUUAGAUUCUCUACCCUCAACCCUUAAGACCCCAUAGUAUUGUCUGAAGUUUUUUCACAACACGCUUUCCCAGAAAUUCUUGUACAGCCAAUGUCUGUGCCUGUAUUUUUGGAAGACCCAUCAUGGAGUGAGGGUGAUCUAUAUCCCUGAUGACACUCUGAAAUCAUUUUUCUUCUCACGGAAACCAGGUGAGAUUGACAGAACAUGACUUGUGUCUUUUUCCCUCUAAGCUAUAUAUCUAUUUCUAUGUCUUUCUAUCUUAGAAUAUUUUUACCAGCAACAAAAUCAGCAAGAUUAAUAUUAUGAGUUAUUGUUACCCAAGUCAACAAUUAUGAACAUUUAUCUCAUUAUAUAUCUCUUCCAACCUUAUUUGCUUGGCUCUUUUCCAGCACGUGGGAGGCAUCAUUAAGCAGGUAUGUUAAGGUCUUUGUGGCCUAUCCAUGAGAAUAUCCACAUCUGUAAAGGCAAAGAACAUGUAACACCUGUAAAUUUUUAGCUAAAUGCUCUUUUGUUACAAAUCACGCUUGCUUGCUUGUGAUGAAUUUCUAAAACUUAGAGAGCAGUUUUUUUUUUUUUUUUGUCGUGCUUAGGUAUUACUAUUGUUGCUAGCUGAGGUCAGGUAGGACCCUGAUUCACAGCAACCCCAUGCACAACAGAAAGAUUGUGGUUUGCAUCAUUGUGAUUCAUGUAGUUUUCAUCCACUGAUUUUUGAAACCGUAUCGCCAGGACACUUCUAGUUCAUCUUACUCUGGAAGUUUCAUUAUCAUAGCAACACAAAGCCUCCUUGAGACUAUCUUAAUUGGAUGUCACUAUUGGCCCCCAUUCUCUGCCUUGAACUGAUAAAGUCAUGGAAACAUCCCCUCUCCUCAGUUCUCCAAGACUCAGCUGCAAGUCUUCACAACAUCUGGUACAUCCACCCAGUUGCCAGUUGGGCCAGUCUAUGUCUUGUUUAGAUAGUUGAGCAAUGCCACCUCCAAGAAAAGUAGGGAAAUAUAUUGGAUCACUAUUUGACCCUGCAUUUAAUGGUGAAUAAAGUGAUUGAGUGGGGCAGGAGGAUGUGGGAAAAGGUAUCUUAAUGGUGAAGAAAAAAUUGCAUUGAUUAAGGGUAGGGUUGCACAGCCAAUUAUUGUAAUUGCUGUCAAUAAGUUGUGCACCUUUAAAAAGUUGAAUUGGCAGAAAUUGUGUGAUAGAUAUAUUUACAGCAACAACAACAAAGAGAGUAGCAGCUGAGGGGACUAAUUGGUAAGUAUAACCAAACACCCCAUGGGAUUUGGCUCUUUGUUUGGAGGUUUUAGGGUCAUGGUUUCAUGGGACAUUCCAGUUAAUUGGCCUAAUAAUGUGUUUAGUGCUUCCGUUCUACCUAGUUAAUUGUGAAGUGCCUGGGGUAUUGAAAGCUUGCAAGCGGCCAUUCACACCACAACAGGUGGUCUCUAUUCACCUGGAGCAACAGAGGAAGAAGGAGAAUCAGGAAUAGGAGGAGGAUAUGGAAUGUGUGGCUAAUUACCUCCAUGAACAACUGCCUUCUUUGCCAUGUGACCAGAAGAACUGGAUGGUGCCCGGCUACCACUGCUGAACAUCUUGAUCAAAGAUUCCAUCAAAGAGCCCUGAUCUAAAGGGGGGAAAUUUAGAAUGAAAUUUUAAAUUCUCAUAGACUGUGGACUUUGUGGAAACUCUGGUGGCUUAGUGGUUAAGUACUACGGCUGCCAACCAAAGGGUCGGCAGUUCAAAUCCGUCAGGCGCUCCUUGGAAACUCUAUGGGGCAGUUCUACUCUGUCCUAUAGGGUCGCUAUGAGUCGGAAUCGACUCAACAGCACUGGGUUUGGUUUAGUUUUUUUGGUAGACUUUCUGGAGUCUUGGAGGGGAGAUGGACCCCUGAAACUAUUGCUCUGAUAUAAUCUUUAAACCUUAAACUGAAAUAUAACCCAACACUCACUGCCGUCGAGUCGAUAUCAGACUCAUAGCGACCCUAUAGGACAGAGUAGAACUGCCCCAUAGAGUUUCCAAGUUUAACUUAACUAGUGAAAAAUGGAUGCCUUGAGCAUUAUGCCUUUUAAGAACUAUACAUGGAAUCAGACUGACAACAGCAACUAGAAAGAUUAAAUAGGAACCUAAGGGGCAGUGAGUUUAUGUUAAUGGGGGAGAAACAACUCAGAAAAGGAGGGUGGGAAUGGCUGCACAACUCGGAGAAUGCAAUCAAUGUCACUGAAUGGUACCUGUAGAAACUGUUGAAUUGGUGUAUGUUUUGCUUUGUAUAUUCUCAGCAACAACAACAAAACAAUUAAAAUUUAGAAGAAAAAAAAAGUGAUCAUGUAACACCAAGACACCACUCUUGGUGUCUCAGUGUCCUGCACUUUCAGUGCAACUGUCAUUACAAAAAGAAUCAAAGAAUAGACGUGCCCAGAGUUGAGAGUAAUCCCUCAGUAUGGUAGGCCUGGGACACCAAGUCCCUCACCCCUGUAGCUCUUCACCCUUGUGCCCUUCUUGUGUGAUUCUGGUUCCUUCCUAGUUUGUUCUACCCAAGUGUCCUGACCCAACAGAAAAGGCAUAUCUGCAGCUGUGCUCACACUUUGAGAAGGAAACUUCAAUGGUGUAAAUACCUUGUGAACCUUUGCUAAGUAUGGGUUACUUUAUUUUUCUAUAUUAUUCAUUAGAAUUUUUAUUUCAUUUUACUGUCUGCACAAUAAACCCUGACCUAGUGAACCUGGAGAUCUCAUCACUUUUUCUGUUCAAGCAGACCCUGACUAGUGAGGUGAGGAGAAGACAGUCCUUUUUUACAGUUGAGAGUGGAGGGAGAACCAGAUAGGCAAGGACAGGGGGAUUUUUACUUGGAAUCUAGUAGUAUCUCUCUCCCCACCACCAAAUUCAGCCCUUUUACUCCAUUUCCUGGGAAUGGGAGUGGUGCAGCAUUGGCCCCCUGUGGUUGGUGGUCUUUCUUUACCCAAUUCUUACACAACCUUGAGAUCAACUGACCUUCUUAUGUCCUUGUGAAUUUCUUUAUGAGACACUAGGUCUAGCUCCAUUUUCCCGUAAAGUAGAAAGGCCUGAGCCGCAGCUAUGUUGGCUAAGGAAUGGUGUCAUCUCUACCUCUGGAGAGACCAUUACCAUGUUCAGGGGAAGGGCCAACCCUCACUUAUACUGAGAGGAAGGUCUGAGAUAUGAUAAGAUAUGCUUGAGUGAUGAGGACCUGCCGCCUCAACACUAAUGGCACAAGAGCAUGGAGAUGCAGGUAAGACUUCUCCCUCAGCUGUGUGUUAGGUCAUCUAGACCUCAAGGAAUAGACCAUGAACAUUUCCUCAGGUGCCUGAGACAUACCUAGAAUGAGAUAGUCCUGCCAUGGGGUCUUAGGCUACAAUUACUCUGGUGGAUUUUAGGGCUCUAAGAGGAGGGUGUGUAGGAGGCUUUGUGUAAAACAGAAACCGUAGCCCAUUACUUAUUUGAUUUUACAGUAGCUUUUUCAUUGUAAAAAAAAAACAGAUCCCCUCCCUUCCCCCGAAAAAAGAACCUAACAAAAACACUGUGUCUUUAACAAAAGGCAGACACACCUGUUGUCUUAGUUAUCUAGUGCUGCUGUAACAGAAAUACAGGUGGGUGGCUUUAACAAACAUAAAUUUUUUUUUCUGUUAGUUUAGAAGGAUAGAAGUUUGAAUUCAGGGCGCUGGCUCCAGGGAAAGGCAUUCUCUCUCUGUCAGCUCUAGGGGAAAGUCCUUGUCUCUUUUCAGCUUCUAUUCCUUGGCUCCUUGGUGAUCUUCAUGUGGCAUGGCACCUAUCUUCCCCUAUCUCUGUUUACUUCUCUGUCCUAAUCUGCACUUUUUAUCUCAAAGGUGGUUGGCUAAAAACACGUUCUACACUGAUAGGGCCUGUGAACAUAACAAAGAAAACCCAUUUUGAAACUGGGUUAUAAUCACAGGAAUAGGAGUUAGGAUUUACAAUACAUAUUCUGGGGGGACCCAAUUCAAUCCAUAACACCUGUUAACCACCGAAAAGAUGGAACUUUUGUUUCCAGAAGUCCUCACAUUUGCCACAUCUCAAUCAUAACAUUUUCCCUCCCUCAAAUAAAAGCAUUUCCCGUCUUUUAUGAUAACAACUUCUUUGCUCUAUCUUAUACUUUCAUUAUUCAAAGUUGUAGUUUCGUUCACCUUUAAAAAUGUAUCUUUUGUUCCCUUUUAUUCUAUAGGUUCUUCCUUUAUCUCUUUUCUUCUCCUGAAAUUUAAGUGCCCUGUAGUUUCCCAUAGAUUUGAUUUUGCCGAUUCAAUCCCCAAAGUGUGGUUUAAUCUGUCUCUCUAACCUCUGUAUUUCCUAUAGAUUCAUAGUUGAGUAUAGAGGCUUGAUCAUAUUCAGGUUGAAUUAGUUAAUUUAUUUUUGACAAGGGUACUUCAUUUGUGGUUUUAUGUUCUUCCACCAAGAAAUACUUCAUUUCUGGUUCUCUCUUUUUCCUUUUGUUUUUGGAGGGGGGCUGUUUACUGUCACUGCUUUUUAAUGGCUAAAUCCACUAAUUCAUUAGGGGUUACAAAAGAGUGUUAUUCUCAGUCUCUCAUUCCUUCUUCAUUUAUGAGCUAAAAAUAACUUCUAUAAUAAGAGAUUUAUUUUAAUUCUAUUACUUGGUACAAUUUUUUUUUUUUUUUAAUGAGAAACAACCCAACCGAGUGUCCUGCAGUGUUUGGGUACAGAAAGCAUUUUACUACUCAAUAGAGAAAUCUGAUUAGAUGAGUUGUCUCCAUCCACUGUCGGGCCCCUCAAAACAGUGCACUCGGGAUGGCCCUGGCUCAGAUCCACCACUGACUGCUCUGGUAGGGAUCACAAUAGAGAACACAGCUGGUAAAAAGUGUAGAACAAACUUCAAAUUCACACACAAAAAAGACCAGACUUACUGGUCUGACAGAGACUGAAAAAGCCCCUGAGAUUAUGGCUCCUGGACACCCUUUUAACUAAAAACUGAAGAUUAGUCCAAAGGACUAAUUAGUCCAAAGGAUUAAAAGACUGAGUCCAGUACAACUAGAUGGUGCCCAACUACCACCACUGAAUGCUCUGACAGGGAUCACAAGAGAGGGUCCCAGGCAAAGCUAGAGAUAAAUGUAGAACAAAAUUCUAACUCAUAAAAAAAGACCAGACUUAUUGGCCUGACUGAGACUGGAGAAAUCCCAAGAGUAUGGCCCCUGGACACCCUUUUAGCCUAGUAAUGAAGUGAAUCCUGAAGUUCACCCUCCAUCCAAUAAGGGAGAGGAGGGCUGACUGUAGGUGAAUAGAUUUAUGCCUGGGUUCUCAAUUUUGUUUCAUUGGCCUAUUUGACAUUGUACCAGCACCAGGCUGUUCUGACUACUGUGGCUGUACAGUAGAUUCUAACAUCAGGUAGUGUGAGGCCUCCUACUUUGUUCUUCGUUUUCAAUAACGCUUUACUUAUUGGGAGCCUCUUUCCUUUCUAUAUGAAGUUAGUGAGAAGUUUUUCCAUCAUGUUAAAGAAUGCUGCUGGUAUUUGGACGGGGAUUGCAUUUUAUCUGUAGAUGGCUUUGGGUUGAAUUGAUAUUUCACAAUGUUGAGUCUUCCUAUCCAUGAGUGCGGUAUGGUUUUCCAUUUAUGUAGAUCUCUUUUGGUUUCUUGCAGUAGUGUUUUGUAGUUUUCUAAUGCAUAGGUCUUGUACGUCCCUGGUUACAUUUACUCCUAAGUAUUUCAUUUUUUCGGGGUGAUUAUAAAUGGUAUUGUUUUCUUGACUUCCUUUUGAAGUUCUCUUUGUUGGUGUGUAGGAAUCCAACUGAUUUUUGUGUGUUGAUUUUGUAUUCUGCUAUUCUGCUGAAUCUAUUAGUUAUAGUAGUUUUCUUGUGCAAUCUUUGGGGUUCUCUAUGUAUAAUAUCAUAUUAUCUAAAAACAGGGAUAGUUUUACUUCUUCCUUUCCAAUUAAAAAAAAAGAAAAACUUGUUGCCUUCAAGUCGAUUCCGACUCAUAGCAACCCAUAGGACACAGUAGAACUGCCGCACAGGGUUUCCAAGGAGCAGCCAGUGGAUUUGAACUGCCCACCUUUUCUUUGGCAGUUGAUCUCUUAACCACUAUGCCACUAUCCGAUUUGGAUGCCCUUUCUUUUUCUUGCCUUAUUGCACUAGGUAGAACUUAAAGCACACCGGUAGACAGGAGUGGCAUUAAAGGGCAUCCUUGUCUUUUCCUCUUCUCAGGGGGAAUGCUUUCAACCUUUUUCCAUUGAGAAUGAUGUCAGCAGUUGGCUUUGUAUAGAUGUUGGUUAUUAUGUUGAGGAAUUUCCCUUUUAUUCCUAUUUUGCUGAGAGUUUUUGUCAGGAAUGGGUAUUGGACUUUACCAAAUGCCAUUCUUCAUUGAUUGAUAUGAUCAUGUGAUUCUUUUCUUUCAUUUUAUUUAUGUGAUGAAUUACAGUAAUUGAUUUCUAAUGUUGAAGCAUUCUUGCAUACCUGGUUCGAAUCCCACUUGGCCAUAGUGUAUUAUUUAGGCACUGAGUUCUUGAUAGACACCCUGCCGGUAUAAGCAGAAUUACCAUCUGUGUACUUAGAUAUCUGUCUAUCCAAUGGUUCCUUCUACCAUUUCUGCCUAGGAGCUAAGGUGCUUGUCUUUUCCUGAACAAUGUGGGAUGAUUUUAUUUUGAAAUUCAGAAAAAGGAGAUCCAGGCCAAGGAGCCAGUAUGAGAAAAAGCCCAUAUCACAGAAACACAUGACAUAUUUGGAGAAAGGUGGGUGUUUAGGGGACGUUCAAAAUGACUACCACCCUCCAAAAUCACAUUAACCAACACCAGAUCUGAGCUCCUACCACAUAUCAGGCACUGGUCUUUGUGGUUUGUGUACUAUAACUCCAAGCAUCUUCAUCAGGGCCCUGUGGGAUCAGUAUAGCUUGUGAAGCACAGAAACAUAGAGGAACUUACCCACAGUCACCAACCAUUAAUUAGGGGAACAUGGAAUCUGCAUGUGCAUGUUCUUUAUUCUGAAGCCCAGAGCAGUGGAACAGAUUCUGCAAAGGUUGUUUUGACACAAAUUGGGAUUUAAAAAAAGUCAUUUUUAAGUAAUGAUUUAAAUGGUAGUCAACAUCUGUGUAAAAAUUACUAGCGUUAAACUUGCCAUAAUGGAAUUCAUAAUUUAUUUUAAAAAAUGUAUCCAUAUGCUCAAAUAUCAAUAGGAAAUUAAUACAACUCCACUAGAAAAACAAGCAAAGCAUAUUAACACCAAAUUCACAGAAUCAAGAAAUAAGUAUUACCAAUUAAUGAUGAAAAUAACCAACUUCACUAACUAGAGUGAUAGUAUAUAAUUUGCCGACCCAGAUAACAAUAUGUAGAUUUUUAUUACAUCCCUACAUACACUAUUGAAAAUCUGGAAGCGAUAAAAAUGUCACUUACCGAGGAUUUAGUUACAUGCCUUAGAGCAUAUAUUCAGCCAUAAAAUGAAAUACUAUGUGAUUUUAAAGAAAAGUUGACAUAAAUCUAUAUACUUUUAAUUGGCAAGCUAUCCAGGUGGUAGUGUUAUAUAAAAAAGAUGUAUAAUUUAUAUGAUAUGGUUUAUAUGACUAUAUUUUAAUGCAAAUACCUUUGGAAGUAUAUAAACACUAGAAUAGUUAUUGGUAAGUGGAGGGUUGGAUUAAGCAAGAGGAAACCAAAAAACAAAACCUGUUGCCGUCUGGUCUAUUCCAACUCAUGGUGACCCCAUGUGUUACAGAGAACAGUUUGAAACGGUUUUCUUGGCUGUAAUCUUUAUGGAAGCAGCCUGCCAGGCUUUUCUUCCGUGGAGCCACCAGACACAGUCUAAUUUCCAUUUUUAUGUUGUGACUGAGAGUUUCGGGUGUCUACACCACACCUAUUAACAGUUUCCUCCAUGUAUUCAGGGUCCCUGCGUCCAGCCCUGUAUGAUGCAUGAUGCUUGCACUCAGAGAGUCAUGACUCUCUGGUUCCUCACAUUCCCACCUGCCCUGAAGGGGAGCUGGGACACUGACACCAGAGCAGCUGUGUGAAUGACUGUCAGGGCAGGGACUAGGAAUGAAAAUGCAAAUGGGCCCAUUAGAGGAGGAGAGUGUAAAACGAUGUUUUGAGUGGUGCUGGGCCCUAGAAAGGCUCCACUCGCAGCAAAGUGAAGAAAGAACUUCUUUGCCCAGGAAACAAGGAAGCGUGUCUCUGCCCAUGUCUCUAGGUGAAGAAGGUGUAGCCUGUAAAUCCUGAAUCUCCCUCACGCUUCUCCAAAGUUACCUGAGGCCAUUUGCCAAGGAGAUGUGCCCUAGGGAAAAAGAUUAAUAACAUAUCCCAGAUAUGAGAUACUGAAGAAUGAAAACACUACCAUGGCCCCAGUGUGGUCUAAGCAAUAGCAGAUUGACACCACUUGGGAACACAGAACUAUUAUCUGACCCAGCAAUCCCAAUCUUGGGUACACACCCAGACGAAUGAAGGCAGUCACACAAACAGAAACCUGUACCCCAAUGUCCAUUGCAGCACAUUUCACAAUUGCCAAAAGGUGGAAACAAUUGAAAUGUCCCUUACGAGAUGAAUGGAUAAACAAAAUGUGGUAUACACCCACAAUGGACUAUUACACAGCCAUAAAGAGGAAUGAAGUCCUGAUGCAUGCCACAACAUGGAUGAACAUUGACAACAUCCUGCUGAGUGAAAUACAUCAAUCCCCAAAUGACAAAUACUGUAUUAUCUCACUUAAACAUGAAAUAAGCAAAUAUAUAGAAACCAAAGAUUAUCACUGGUUACCAGGGAUGGGAAGGAGGGGGAAGGGGGAGUUUUUGCUUAUGGGGCAGUGAGUGAGUUAAUGGUGAUAAAAUGAUUUGGAAAAGGAUAUCGCAAGAAUGGUUACACAACUUGAAGAAUGUAAUCAAUGUCAGUGAACUGCAUAGGCAGAAAUUGUUGAGUUGGUGUAAGUUUUAUGUAUAUUAUCACCAUAAGAAAAUAAUGUUUAACCCAGACAUCUCCGCAAAGUAGACAACCACGAGGGGUGGCUCAGGAGAGGCUGGAUCAAUCUUGUGGGCACUGGAAAUGCUCUGUCUCUGACCUGGAAGCUGCUUCCGUGGUGUGUCCAAUCUAUGGGAACUCCGCCUGCUGCAUUAUGAUACCUGCAUUUUUCAUAUGAACCAAAUACUUCAAUAAACAACAACGAACAAAACAACUUGGAAGCUUGUUAGAAAAACAAUCUCAGGCCCUUUUCCAACCUCUGGAAUCAGGAUCUGCAUUUUAAGAAGCUCCAGGGGGGUCACGGUGCCCAUCACAGUCUGAGAAGAGCUGCCCUGAAAGCCUGGAAGAGCAAAUAGGCUGCUUCACUCUCCCUGACUCACACCUAUGGCACCAGGGAGUGCCUGAGGCUAGUAGUUGUCACACUUUAUCAUAAAGGUCACCAAAGAGCUUGUUAGAGCACAGAAUCCUGGACUCCACCUCUAGACAGUCUGGUUGGGCAUGGGGCAAUGGCAAAAAUGUGCAUUUAUGCUAAUUUUCCAGAUGCCAUAAUGCUGCAGGUCAGUGAGUCUCACUUGGAGGACAGCUGGCCUGAACCAAAGGAAAGGGAGCGAGUGGAAGCCUGACUCCCAGAAGGAUCUGGAAGUGAUGCCUACCAGGCACAUCCAUGGCUGCCCACAACACUUGGGCAAGAUGAUUUGAUUGAUGGUGUCAGUCAGCCUUUGCCCAGGACCACAAGGCUUACUUGCUGAGUCCAUGCACGAAGUGGCCAUGGGGUGUCAGGGAUACAGAGGUGACAACCUGACAAGGUUUGUAUCUCACCUAUUGCCUUUGAGUUGAUUUCAACUUAUAGCCACCCUACAAGACAGAGUAGAACUGUCUGCAUUUGGUUUUGAAGCCCGUAAUCUUUAUGGAAGCCCAGUGCCACAUCUUUCUCCCAUGGAGCAACUGGUGGAUUUGAAUAACCGGUUUUUUAGUUAACAGCUGAGCCUUUAACCACUGCUCCACCAGGGCUAUUUAUGUGUCAAGGUACAUGUACAGGUAGUCCCUGACUUACAAUGGAGUUCUGUUCCUAGGACUCCAUUGUAAGUCAGUUCUGACGUAAAUCAGAUACUUCAUUUUUUAAAAUAAUUUUCAUUAUUAUUGCCUUUUAUUAUUAGUAUUUUUAUAAAUCUGAUUUAUUUGUCUUUGGGGAUUGGAAACAUUACAUAUACUCUUACAGAUAUAUUUAAAUAUAUACAUCAUAAAACAUUACAUAUGUCCAUAAAAAGCAGAUGACAUUGGCUUACAACUCCACUUGCAGAAGCUCCUGUAUCAUCUGUAUUACCCCGGGAAUGGAGAUGGCAUUUCUAGUCAGAAAAUUACUAAGAGUUUCUGUAACUUUGUAUGUAGUACAUUUUACUAAUGAUAAGAAGUAAAAAAAAAAAAAAAAAAAGGCAGUCACAAGUGGGGUUUGUCAUAACUCAAAAACAUUGAAAAUUGGGGACUACCUGUAUUUCAAUGAUAGAGACACACAAUAUAUAAACAUGUUUAUUAUAAUGUUACUGAUAACUGUCUUAGAGAAAACUAUGCCAGCCUAGAAGAUUGGUGGUGGAGCAGAUGGCAGCAGUGAUAUUUCAGACCGGGUGGUUAGAGAAGGUCUUUCUGAGGAUUUGACCUGUGGAUAUUUGAGCAGAGGCCAGCAUAGGUGGGGAGGAGAUAUGUGAAUACCUGGGGAGGGGAGGUGUACUGGGGAGAGUCAGCAGGCACAGAUGCCCUGAGACAGGACUGACCAUGUCAAGAGACCAGAGCUCAUAGAGGUGAGAGAGCUAGGCUGAGAGCGGUGGGUGAGGCCAGAGUAGUCAGAGGGGCUUGUAGAAAAUGGUGGGGUUGCAAUUUCAUUGUGCCUAAGAAGGGAACUCCCUGUGUGAUGCAAUGGGUUAAGGUGUUGGGCUGCUAACCAAAGAGUUGGUAGUUCGAGUCCACCCAGAGGCACCUAGGAAGAAAGAUAUAGGGCUGUACUUCUGAAAAAUCAGCAAUUGAGAACCCUAUGGAGUACAGUUCUACUCUGACACAUAAAGGGUUGCCAUGAGUUAGAGUUGACUCAAUGGCAACAGAUUACUGGAAGAGGAACACACUGGAGUGCUAUGUGAUUUUUAGUGUUGGGGAUAUGUUGUAAUUCACAUAGAAAAAGAUCAUGUCCGUUGUGCGGGUCAUGGACAGCAGGGCACGAGGGUCAACAGGGAGUGGAGCUGGAAGGCCCAGCCAGUGUCCUGGUGUAGAGGCCAUGGUUCUAGGACAGAAGCAGUGGUGGUGUGAGUAGUGAGCGGAUUUAGUGUUCAUGUAUUUUUAAGACAGUGCUAGCAGUAAUCCAGGAGCACUGGUGGCAUACUGGUUAAGCACUCAGCUACUAAUGGAAAGUUCAGCAGUUGGAACCCACAAGCUGCUCUACGGGAGAAAGAUGUGGCAGUUAGUUUCCAUAAAGAUGACAGUUUUGGAAACCAUAUGGGACAGUUCUACACUGUCCUACUCCAAGAUGGCGAAGUAGUCAGAUGCUUCUGGUGAUCCCUCUUACAACAAAGACCCCUUCCAAAAAGUGAAAUGAUUAUAUAUAUGACAAACUAGGAGCCCUGAACAUCAAAGGCAAUGUUAGGAAAUCUGACUGAGCGGCAGGGGAGGGAGAUGCGGUUCAGAAGUGGUGAGGAGUUGCCAGGCCUGACACAGAGGAAACCGUUGCCACUCAGGCACAUCCUCCUGGAGUGACCGUGGCAGGGCUGACUGCAGCAUUGGGGUUCAGUUUCCUCACAGAGAGACAGUGAGUUGCACAAUCUACUCACACGUCCGGAACAAGAGAAGAACAGUGCUCUUGGCAAAAGCUAAGUACUUGCAUUUAUUUUACGAUGUCCCCAGCCCCUGAGCCUGCUUCAGUGGCUGUAGAUUCCCCUGGGCCAGAUAUAGCUCCUGCUGUACUCUCAGAGCCAUUCUCCUGGCCUUGAAAAAGAAAUAAAUUAACAAUUGGGGGAAAAGAUAAUCUGCCAGUUCCACUAAGCUGGGGAGCUCAGGACAGAAGUGGCUCCUGUCCAGGCACAAACGGUCCGUGGACUUUGAAUACUUUUACCCCUGUAUGGACCUGAGUGGGCCCAUUUCAGGAGAUUAGGCCCUCAUUGGCAGACUGCAAUGGUGUGUGUGCUCAAUAACUGACUUCAACUGUUUCAGCUGUGUGGUGGAAAGGUGGGUUUUUGAUGUUUGACACUGCUUUGCCUAUUAAACAGGGUCCUUACCUACUCACAUCAGGGGCCUGAGGACUGGCGGCUCCACCAAAGUCACCUAGCCAACCACAACAGAGGUCAAGGAUAAGUAGCGCCUCCCAGUCCUUACAACCAAAAGCAUUUGGUGCCCAUAGUCGAGCUGCAGAACCCACCCACCUGUGCGCCCUAGGGAACAGAAACGUGCUUUCUUCACAGACACUCAGGAUGGUUGUCAGCCCCCUGCUUUGUUUAGAAUGUGAUCCCCUGCUGCUACCAGUUACCUGUGUGGGCGCCAGUCACCCCUGCCUCUCUAAGAUUGUAGGACAAAGCGUGUACCACACAUUUGAUAACCAACUACCUGGACACGUGAGGUGAAUCCAUACAAGAAAAGUGAAUGGAUUCCUAGGCUCAUAUCCCUGGUAACAACUUUAGCCAUCUGGUGACAGGAUGUUAGAGCUUUAAAGGCGUAAAUAAUCAAGCUAACUCGCUCAAGCACCCUACCUGGGCAUAUCAAAACAAAACAAAGCAAGCAGCUAGGAUACAGUAAACAAAAUAAUACAAUAACUUAUAGAUGGCUUGGAGAAAACAGUCAAUAUAAAAUCACAUAAAGAAGCAGACCAUGAAUGCUUCAUCAAGCUCUCAAAACAAAUAGUGAAGGAAUCUUCUGGAUGAAGAUGUUUUCCUGGAAUUACCAGGUGUAGAAUACAAAAGAUUAAUAAACGGAACCUUCAAGACAUUAUGAAGGGAAUCAGGCAAAACACAGAACAAGCCAAUGAACACACAGAUAAAGCAGUUAAGAAAUUUAAAAGGUUAUUCAAGAAAACAAUGAAAAAUUUAAUAGACUGCAAGAAACCAUAGAGAGACAGCAAUCAGAAAUUCAGAAUUAGGCAUCUCAAAAGAAAGAGGAGCAGAACUGAGGAACUGGAAGGCAGAUAUAGUGAGUAUGAAGAUAAAACACUUGGCACCAAUAUAUUCGAUAAAAAGUCAAAAGAAUUAAAAAAAAAAUGAAGAAAGCCUAAGAAUCAUGUGGGACACUGUCAAAAGAAAUAAGCUAUGAGUGAUUGGAGUACUAGAACAGGGAGGGAAAAUAGAAAAUACAGAGAGAAUUGUUGAAGAUUUGUUGGCAGAAAACUUCCCUGAUAUCAUGAAACAUGAGAAAAUAUUUACCCAAGAUGCUCAUCAAACACCACAUAAGGUAGAUCUCAAAAGAAAGUCACCAAGACAUAUUAUAAUCAAACUUGCCAAAAGCAAAGAUAAAGAGAGGAUUUUAAUAGCAGCUAGGGAUAAAUGAAAAAUCAACUACAAAGGAGAGUCAAUAAGAAUAAGUUUGGACUACUUGGCAGAAAACAUGCAGGAAAGAAGGCAUUGGGAUGACUUAUAUAAAGUGUUGAAGGAAAAAAAACUGCCAGCCAAGAAUCAUAUAUCCAAUAAAAUUGUCUCUCAAACAUGAAGGCUAAAUUAGGACAUUUCCAGAUAAACAGAAAUUUAGGGAAUUUGUAAAAACCAAGCCAAAACUACAAGAAAUACUAAGGGGAGUUCUCUGGUUACAAAAUCACUAAUAUCAGAUAUCAACCCAAGACUAGACCACAGGACAGAGCAAGCAGAUAUCAAUCCAGAAAGGGAAAUCACAAAAACAAAUCAAGAUAAAAAACACUGAAAACAGGGAACCAGUGAUGUCAUUAUGUAAAAGAUGACAAUAUUAAAUGAAUAAAGAGGGACUAAAAAAUGUAUUUAUAGAUCUUUCAUAUGGAGAGGAAGUCAAGGUGAUAUAAAGAAACAAAAGUUCGAUUUAAACUUAGAAAAAUAAGGGUAAAUAUUGAGGUAACCACAAAGGAGAGUCACAAUCCUACACAUCAAAAUAAAAUAAAUAAAAACAUAAAGACUCAGCAAAAACAAAAUCAACAACAAGAAAUAAGAGGAAAGACAAUAUAUAAAGAUAAACUACUCAGCACAAAAAAUUAAGUAGAAAAAAGAAACUCAACAACACACAAACAAAGACAUCAAAAUGACAGCACUAAACUCAUACCUAUCCAUAAUUACACUGAAUGUAAAUGGACUAGAUGCAGCAAUGAAGAGACAGAGAGUGGCAGAAUGGAUAAAAAUACACGAUCCGCCUAUAUUCUGCCUACAAGAGACAUACCUUAGAUUUAAAGACACACACACAAAAAAAUCAAAGGAUAAAAAAAAAUCAAGCAAACAAUAAUCAAAAAAGAGCAGGAGUGGCAAUAUUAAUUCCUGUCAAAAUAGACUUUAAAGUUAAAUCCACCACAAAGGAUAAGGAAGGACACUAUAUAAUUAUUAAAGGGACAAUAUACCAGGAGGAUAUAACCAUAUUAAAUAUUUAUGCACCUAACGGCAGGGCUUCAAGAUACAUAAAACAAACUCUAUCAGCAUUGAAAAGUGAGAUAGACAGCUCCACGAUAACAGUAGGAGACUUCAACAUACCACUUUUGGUGAAAGACAGAACAUCCAGAAAGAAGGUCAACAAAGAUGCAGAAGAUCUAAAUGUCACAAUCAACCAAAUCGACCUCAUAGACAUAUACAGAACACCCCACAAAACAGCAGCCGAGUAUACUUUCUUUUCCAGUGCACAUGGAACAUUUUCCAGAAUAGACCACAUAUUAGGUCAUAAAGCAAGCCUUAACAGAAUCCAAAACAUUGAAAUAUUACAAAGCAUCUUCUCUGACCAGAAGGCCAUAAAGUAGAAAUGAAUAACAAAAAAAGCAGGGAAAAAAGAUCAAACACUUGGAAACUGAGCAAUACCCUGCUCAAAAAUGUCUGGGUUAUAGAAGACACUAAGGAUGAAAUAAAGAAAUUCCUAGAAUCCAAUAAGAAUGAAAACACUUGCUAUCAGAACCUUUGGGACACAGCAAAAGCGGUGCUCAGAGGCCAAUUUAUAGAAAUAAAUGCACACAUCCAAAAAGAAGAAAGGGCCAAAAUUGAAGAAUUAUCCCUACAACUUGAACAAAUAGAAAGAGAGCAACGAAAGAAACCCUCAGGCACCAGAAGAAAGCAAAUAAUAAAAAUUAUUAAAUGAAAUAGAGAACAGAAAAAUAAUUGAAGGAGUUAUCAAGACCAAAAGCUGGUUCUUUGAAAAAAAUCAACAAAAUUGAUAAACCAUUGGCCAAACAGACAAAGGAAAACAGGAGAGGAAGCAAAAAACCCAAAUAAGAAAUGAGAUGGUUGAUAUUACAACAGACUCAACUGAAAUUAAGAGUUAUAUCAGACUACUAUGAAAAAUUGCACUCCAACAAACUUGAAAACCUAGAAGAAAUGGAUGAAUUUCUAGAAACACGCUAACUAGUUAACCUAACACAAACAGAGGUAGAACAACUAAAUAAACCCAUAAAGAAAGAAGAGAUUGAAAAGGUAAUUAAAAAACUCCCAACAACAACAACAACAAAAAAGCCCUGGCCCGGACGGCUUCACUGCAUCGUUCUACCGAACUUUCAGAGAAGAGUUAACACCACUACUACUAAAGGUAUUUCAGAGCAUAGAAAAGGACGGUACAUUCCCAAACUCAUUCUAUGAAAUCAGCAUAUAUCUGAUACCAAAAUUAGGUAAAGACACCACAAAAAAAGAAAAUUAUAGACCUAUAUCCCUUUAUCCCUCAUGAACUUAGAUGCAAAAAUCCUCAACAAAAUUCUAGCCAACAGAAUUCAACAAUAUAUCAAAAAAAAUAACACACCAUUACCACGUUGGAUUCGUACCAGAUAUGCAGGGAUGGUUCAACCUCAGAAAAACAAUCAAUGUCAUCCAUCAUAUAAAUAACACAAAAGACAAGAACCACAUGAUCUUAUCAAUUGAUGUAGAAAAGGCAACUGACAAAGUCCAACACUUAUUCAUGAUAAAAACUCUCAGCAAAUUAGGAAUAGAAGGAAAAUUUCUCAACAUAAUAAAGGGCAUUUAUACAAAGCCAACAGCCAACAUCAUCCUAAAUGGAGAGAGUCUGAAAGCAUUCCCCCUGAGGAUAGGAACCAGACAAGGAUGCCCUUUAUCACCACUCAUAUUCAACAUUGUGUUGAAGGUCCUAGCAAGAGCAAUUAGGCUAGAUAAAGAAAUAAAGAGCAUCCACAUUGGCAAUGAAGAAGUAAAAGUAUCUCUAUUUGCACAUGACAUGAUCUAAUACACAGAAAAUCCUAAAGAAUCCUCUAGAAAACUAAUGAAACUAAUAAGAGUUCAGCAGAGAAUCAGGAUACAAGAUAAACAUACGAAAAUCAGUUGAAUUCCUCUACACCAACAAAGAGAACGUUGAAGAGGAAAUUACCAAAUCAAUACCAUUUAUGGUAGCCCCAAGAAGAUAAAAUACUUAGGAAUAAAUCUUACCAGAGACAUAAAAGACCUGUACAAAGAAAACUACAAGACACUACUGCAAGAAACCAAAAGAGACCUACAUAAGUGGAAAAACAUUCCUUGCUCAUGGAUAGGAAGACUCAACAUUGUAAAAAUGUCUAUACUACCAAAAGUGAUCUAUAGAUACAAUGCAAUUCCGAUCCAAAUUCCAAUGGCAUUUUUUAAUGAGAUGAAGAAACAAAUCACCAACUUCAUAAGGAAGGGAAAGAGGCCCUGAAUAAAUAAAGCAUAACUGAAAAAGAAGAACAAAGUGGGAGGCCUCACACCACCUGAUUUGAGAACCUAUUAUGCCGUGACAUUGGCCAAAACAGCCUGAUACUGGUACUAUAACAGACACAUAGACCAAUGGGACAGAAUUGAGAAUCCAGACAUAAAUCCAACCACAUAUGAGCAGCCGAUAUUUGACAAAGUCCCAAAGUCAGUUAAACCGGGAAAAGACAGUCUUUUUAACAAAUGCUGCUGUCAUAACUGAAUAUCCAUCUGCAAAAAAAUGAAACAAGACCCAUACCUCACACCAUGCACAAAAAAGAACUCAAAAUGGAUCAAAGACCUAAAUAUAAAGUCUAAAAUGAUAAAGAUCACAGAAGAAAAAAUAGGGACAACAUUAGGAACCCUAAUACAUAGCAUGAACAGUAAACAAAAUAUUAUAAACAAUGCAGAAACACCACAAAAGAAAUCUAGAAAUAGAAGUACCAUAUGAUCCGACAGUCCCACUCCUUGGAAUACAUCCUGGAGAAAUAAGAGCCUUUAUAGGAACAGAUAUAAGACAAAAAAUGAUACUGGUGAGGAGCGAGCUUCUUGGCUCAAGUAGACACAUGAGGCUAUGUGGGCAGCUCCUGCUACAGGGGAGAUGAGAAGGCAGAGGGGGACAGAAGCUGGCUAAAUGGACAUGGGGAAUACAGGGUGGAGAGAAGGAAUGUGCUGUUUCAUUAGGGAGAGAGCAACUAGGAGUACAUAGCAAGGUAUAUAUAAAUUUUUGUAUGAGAGACUGGCUUGAUUUGUAAAUUUUCACUUAAAGCACAAUAAAAAAAAAAAGAUAUGAAAUUGAGUGGAUAGAAGCCUUUUUCUUUUUAGCAGUAGUUCAAUGGAGAACCACACAUUUAUUUACCUUAAAUCACCGUUGUUUGGAGGUGGCUUACUAUACAAGUGCAUUAUAAUAAAUACACUCUAAUUAUUUAAAAAUCAACACCAAAGAAAACAGAAAAUUUAAAUAUUAACACUAAGGUAAAACCAGAACAGUACUGGACAAAUUGGAAUAUCUGAAACAUUUGCUGUAAAGCUUUUACUAUUUACCUAGCCAUCCGGAUCUUCAGCCCUUUAAGGGACCUCAGUCCCCGCAGAGGAGAAAAGAGCUGGGCAGCCCUGGAGCCCAGCCAUGCCACCCUGGGUUAUACAAGCAGGGGCGCUGGCUGGUUUGGGGUUUCUUUCUGGACCCAGCUGGGGUGACUAAACUCGGUGCAGAGCCUGGCGUCCCGUGCCCCUAUGCUCGUGAGUCAGGGGUCAGAGGGCGAGAGUGCAGGAAGAACAAGAAGUUUAUGGGACAGAGUAGAGGGGGCUGGAGGCAGGCAGGGAGAGGGCUUCUUACAGCCCUUGACCUUGGAGUUUGGUGGGAGAGGGGAAGCCUAGGCAGGUUCUAUCCCGAAAUGGAGAACCCAAGCUUUCAGAGAAAGGGAGAUUAGGCUUCAUCUUUUUUUUUUUUUUCCUCAUUGCAAUCAUAUGUAAAUGCUUUGGGACAAACCUAGCUUAUUAUAAUCAUUAUUGUUAAAGUAUUGAAAGUAUGUGGAGGGGUGAGCUGCUUGAGAGUUUGCUGCAGCCACUGUGCCUAGGAAAUCCCUGAGAAGGGCAGAGGUGCUAAGGUGGGGGAUAGGGGGUAGCAAUGGCAGAGGACUGUAUUUGCCCUGGGGGAGCAAAUCCAAGGGGGUGCCAGAUGAGACUGUCCAGCAAUUCACCACUUGGUGGUGGGGGGAAUCACACCCCCCUACCCUUUUGGAGAGGCCUGCAGAGAAUUGCAUCCCUUCCUCCCACCCUGUCCCCUGUCCCCCCAAGUCCAUGAAUCACCCUCUCCCCCACCCUUCAGGAAGACAAGGCAGGCAGGGGCUGGGAGUGGUUGCUCUUGGGAGCUGGUUACCUUCCACAGGAAUCUGGAGAAGGGUAGUCAUCAUGGAGAACAGGGCUCAGGACCAGUUGUCAGAGGUGCUGGGUUCCAUCUCCCUCUCUGCCCCUCACUAUAUUGUGUCCUCUAGCAAUUAAAACAGUCUCUGGGAUAAUGAGUUUUUCUUAUCUGUAGGAGGACAGACAGGACCCUCCAUCCCGAUUGUCCAGCAAGUAAUUGGCCUAGGUCCAAACCAAGGGAUUCUGAUUCAGAAGAUUUUGGCUGUAGCUUGGGCUUAAGGAUAUGAAAAGUCCUCAGGUG